GACGAACGCUGGCGGCGCGCCUAACACAUGCAAGUCGAACGGAGCUGAGAGGAGCUUGCUUUUCUUAGCUUAGUGGCGAACGGGUGAGUAACGCGUGAGUAACCUGCCCUGGAGUGGGGGACAACAGUUGGAAACGACUGCUAAUACCGCAUAAGCCCACGAUCUGGCAUCGGAUUGAGGGAAAAGGAUUUAUUCGCUUCAGGAUGGACUCGCGUCCAAUUAGCUAGUUGGUGAGGUAACGGCCCACCAAGGCGACGAUUGGUAGCCGGACUGAGAGGUUGAACGGCCACAUUGGGACUGAGACACGGCCCAGACUCCUACGGGAGGCAGCAGUGGGGGAUAUUGCACAAUGGGGGAAACCCUGAUGCAGCGACGCCGCGUGGAGGAAGAAGGUUUUCGGAUUGUAAACUCCUGUCGUUAGGGACGAUAAUGACGGUAC
Molecule: ribosomal RNA, 439 nt
Filed under: uncultured bacterium
Lineage: Bacteria
Description: bacterial SSU rRNA
Rfam family: Bacterial small subunit ribosomal RNA
Source: RNAcentral